GAGUUUUGUUCUUGUUGCCCAGGCUGGAGUGCAAUCGUGCGAUCUUGGCUCACCGCAACCUCCGCCUCCCGGGUUCAAGCAAUUCUCCUGCCUCAGCCUCCCAAGUAGCUGGGAUUAUAGGCAUGCAUCACCACACCCGGCUAAUUUUGUAUUUUUAGUAGAUGGGGUUUCUCCAUGUUGGUCAGGCUGGUCUUGAACUCCCGACCUCAGGUGAUCUGCCCACCUUGGCUUCCCAAAGUGCUACAAUUAUAGGCAUGAAUCACCACGCCCGGCGUUUUUACUAUUAUUUUUAAAAUUACUGCUCCUUGCAGAGCAGGGCUACCCUAUAGGCAAUGUGCCCACAGUAGCCAACCUUUAAUAUAUUUAAGAGUAAAUUGAGGCCGGGCAUGGUGGCUCAUGCCUGUAAUCUCAACACUUUUGGAGGCCUGAGGCGGGCGGAUCACUUGAGGUCAGGAGUUCGAGACCAGCCUGGCCAACAUGG
This 481-nucleotide long non-coding RNA is filed under the name Homo sapiens (human). RNAcentral's name for it is "HSALNT0389450". The record is from RNAcentral. Lineage: Eukaryota; Metazoa; Chordata; Mammalia; Primates; Hominidae.